Long non-coding RNA from Coffea eugenioides, 2478 nucleotides. RefSeq lists it as uncharacterized. The record is from RefSeq and is a predicted model, not a curated record. Lineage: Eukaryota; Viridiplantae; Streptophyta; Magnoliopsida; Gentianales; Rubiaceae. The transcript is spliced from 2 exons.
GGAACCUAACUCACCAUUUUUCCUCAGCCGCUAGUGCUCUGCUCUCCACCAUCACUUCCACCUGCAACCCUAAUAUUUUCGUAUUAGAGAAGUGGACGGUAGAGAAAGGAGCCAUUAUGGCUAAAUCUUUCUAGUCUUGAGAUUCACUACUGUCAAAGAUUAACCAUGAUUCCGGCCCGAGGGAUUGAGAUUCAUUGAACCACUCAAAAAGUGUUGGCAAUCCGCGAAGAAUUUCAGAACAGGGUUCGAGGAGAGGAUUUCGACAAAAUCUACCACAAUAUUCCUUCAGUAAGGAUCCUUCCACCUCUAAAUCGUAUUUUGAUACAGAUACGUCUUGAACAAAAGCUUUAAUUCUGGAAGCCUUUCAUUCAGAGUGAUAUGAUGCCAAAGAAUCUGUAAAGGAGGAAAUUCGCUUGAGGUGAAAACCUUCUGAAGUUUUUUGACCAUGGGCUUAUUUUUUGCUUACUGCAGAUUGCUGUUAGUUAUCUUGAUAAUUGAUAUUUUAACCUUUCUGGUCAAGUUGUGCAUUUCUUAAUGAUUGAAGGCCUGCUUUUGUUUCUGCUUCCUCUCACUAAUUUGUUCUAUUGUGACUGGAGUGGGUUUGAAUUCAGUUAAUUAACUGAAUUCAGUUAAUUCAGUUAGCUAAAGGGCUAAUCCCGUAUGUCUUCCUUAAAAUGGUUUUUUAAGAUGUAUUUUUCUUUUAAUAAUACUUAUAUCUUUUUGACUAUGUAUGUACACAGCUUUGGACUUAUUACCACACACUUCUGAGGUUUCAGUUGAAUAGUUAAGUUCAAGCUAUUUAGUACUCCUUGAUAGGAACUAAAGUAGCAGUUAGACAGUGUUGUGUACUUUCUUUCAUGUUUGACUAAUGUUUAGUUCCCCUUUUGGUUCACAAGGAUGUCUUCCACAUCACUCUUGCUUGAUGUGGUACCAUCUUUGAUCAGCAACACUAUGUCUUUCCCCCAUAUCUGUUGGCAUUUAUGACAUCUGAAAUCAAACUAUUCCAAUUCUGGGUAGCUAAUGGAAAAGAGUUGUUGUCAGCAACGCUGCUUAAUGUCAAUUCAUUUAACAUAUGUAUGAAUUUUUCAGGUGUAUAUUUUUGCCUUUCAUUUUUAGUCCUAUAAUGCAGUAGCUAUUAAAUAUGUUCUUAAGAACAUGACAUUGUGAUGUUUUCUGGUGCAUAUCUGCCUCACAUAUGGCAUCUGAAGCAACAUCUCAGUCAAAAGGGAAAGGCAAAGGGUAUUUCACUUGGACUCCUGAAAUGGAUCGUGUAAUGGACACUUGUUUUAUUGACCAAAUGAACCAAGGAAACAAAUUGGAUGGUAAAUGUGCAUGGAAGACAGCAGCCUACACCGCCGUAAUGAAUGCUUUAUUCGAUAAGCUCAAUAUAUCUGUGACAAAGGCUAAUAUUAUAUCUCGUUUCAAGACAUGGGAGAAACACUAUGACAUCCUAUACCCACUGCUCCAGUCAUAUAACUCUGGGUCUGCGAUAAUAUGGGACUACUCUAGAGGUAGAAUUGAUGUUUGUGAUGAGGAUGUAUGGAAUGCUCGAGUAAGUGAGAAUCCAAAAAUUGUUCCUUAUAGAAAAAAAAAUAGUGGUUGAAAAUUGGGAGGAUAUCUGUACAUUGUUUUCACAAGAUCGUGCAAAUGGAGAGGGCGCCCAAACUGCUUUUGAGGCUAAUGUUGAUACUGAAGUUGAAGAGUCUGCUAAUGUAGAGGAAUCAUUUGAGACUGAUUCACGUUCUUUAGAAGAUGAAGUUAUGAAUGCAUUGCUAGCUCGACAACGGUCAAAAUCAAAAUCGUCAUCUUCAACAAAUGAUCGUGGUACAAAGAGGAAACUGACAAGCUCUCAAGCACUUUACAAGGUGUUGGGACGAAUGGCAGAUUCACUGGAUAAGUACUUAAAUUCAGAAUGUUCAAAAGUUACAACUAAAAUGGUGGAAGAUGAGUUAUCUGAAAUUGAAUUGGAUAGAUUUCAAUUGUUAAAGGGUAUCGAUUUACUUAUGAAUGACAGGACAAAGUAUGACACUUUUUUUGGUCUCCGAGAUGACUUAAAAAAGGAUUGGCUAUUGAUGCACAUUGGUAAUUGAUUUUAUUUGGUAACCUCCAUUUGAAGUUGUUUCUGUUGGGAGAAGAAAUUGAGCAUAUUGCUGGAAGCCAAGUAGAGAAAGCAGAAGCUGUUACUACUCCAUCGUGUACUUUUUAAAUUCUAAUGAGUUCUUUGUUUUUCAUGUAAUGGAUCAAAACAAGAUUAUAGAAAGAUUCUAGGAAAUAUUUCAGCUAUUUUCUGUCUGAUUUUUGAGAUGAUAAGAAUGGGACAUUGGAUCUUUUGUCUGAUGAACUAGCAUUUUAGGUAUUGAGAUUAACAUAGCAGCCUAUGUUGAUGACCUGACUUGUCCUUGAGUUGCAUGAACCUAUAUGGUGAUCAAUGCUGCUGUUUUUUUAUUUUUUUCAUGCUAUCCAGAUGCUUGUUGAGCA